This 267-nucleotide long non-coding RNA is filed under the name Salvator merianae (Argentine black and white tegu). RNAcentral describes it as "Rhabdomyosarcoma 2 associated transcript conserved region 7 (ENSSMRG00000011431.1)". It matches the Rfam family "Rhabdomyosarcoma 2 associated transcript conserved region 7". The record is from RNAcentral. Lineage: Eukaryota; Metazoa; Chordata; Lepidosauria; Squamata; Teiidae.
UGUGUAGCAAUGAAUUCCUUCUAAUAGUUUCAGAGGAACUAAUAAUUUUCAAAAUAUGUUAAUAGUGCAUGUGUUAAUAUAAAGGGGUUAGAAGAUUAGUGAUGCAUUUUUUUGCAUUGGAAAAAGAAUAUAAUAAAGGUCUCCCAGGUGACUCAAGCAGCAGCAAUUUUUAUUGGAGAUUAAAGCUUGAUAGACCUUUGCUUGGAUGAUUAACCCUUCAGAAAUUAAAACCUAAUGCUAAAGAAUUCUAUCCAAUUUAAAUGCAAA